This 1602-nucleotide long non-coding RNA is filed under the name Corvus moneduloides (New Caledonian crow). RNAcentral describes it as "lncRNA (ENSCMUG00000017418.1)". The record is from RNAcentral. Lineage: Eukaryota; Metazoa; Chordata; Aves; Passeriformes; Corvidae.
CUCAUCUGAGUUUACUUCUCGGAAGAUUUUUACAUCCAUCUUUAAAUGAGGGCAUUCUCUUCUAAAAUGCCCUUCCUCUCCACAGUAAUAGCAAGCAGUUAUAGAAUGCUCCUGAGUUUUUCUUUGUACUGAGUUCCUGUUUUUCCCUUUUCCCCCUUUUUUAAAGCCCGAAUUCCUAGGAAUGGAAUCCAGAGACGUCAGAUUCAUUCUUUGCCUUAAGUAGUCUGGACUGAAGAGGAGCCCAGCAACGGCAGUGAACUUUGCCGUUUUUCUGCAUGCAUGCUGCACCCACCCACGGUGCACCGUGCACGGUUUCUUUGCUCAGCUCGAGCUACAAGGACACCCUUUCCAUUUCGAUGAGUCCACACUGCCCAUGCAGCUCUUGCUCAGUGAAGUGCAACAGGGGAGAAGCACUUGCUGGAGAAGUCCCUUGGCAGCCUCCAGCAGCUGCUCUCCUGGAGAACGGCCUGAGAUGUAGAAGCCAGUGCUGGGCUGCACCUUCGCCUUCCGCACGUAAGCACCACCAGACUCACCGGUGCACUCUGUUCUUCCCUCCUCCGCUGCAUGCCACCGUCGUGUUCUCCGAAAGACGGAGACUGAAGGGAAGCGCAAUUGCUUCCACAGAGAGCUGCAAGAGGACUGGGCAUCAGCAGCACGGGAGAGCAGCUAGGAACCGAGCUGUGAGAGCCAACAAUGGGAUGGCACGUCUGUCGGAGAAGUAAGCUUCAGUGCUGCAGACUGCUGUACACAAUUUUAAUGCUGCUCUAACUUCACGGUACUUUUGGAACAUUUUCUGUCCUGACUCUCCCAUCUCUGUGAGCUCUAGCUGCUUGAACUUGGCCACACUGAAGGUGUGUGGACGUGAUUGCGCUGCGAGUAUCAAGUCUUCCAGAGAAGAGGGAUAGUCAUCAAAUGCUUUCUCACCUGGCCCGUCUCUCAGUCCGAACUGUGGCUGGAAACGCUGCGCUGCAAGGGUGGACUUAGCCACUUUGAGAGAAUGUGAUGAUGCUCUAUAUAUAGUUGUGAUGGAAAGUGCUGGUCACUGGAAUGUUUCGCCUAGUUUACAUACUUUAGAGGGACUACGAAGGCCAACGCCUUGUUCUAGCACUUGUUCUCUGCAUGCAGCUGCUGGAUGUUUGGAAGGGCUUUGGGAUCCGCGAGAGGCAGAGGGUAGGAUGGUACAUAGAGCUUGAAGGAAAGUGUGUAUCUCCAGGGCCUUUGAUGCAGUUCAGUGGGUGCGAGUUCCAUGUUGAGCAUGUUCAUGAUGGCACAGAAAAGGUUCUGAAAGAAAGAGGCCGUGCUGGAACUGCCUUGACUUUUGCCGCUUAGAAACUGCACAGCCAACAAUGAAAAGAUUCCUCUUGCUUCCCCACUACGCGCAGGAUCACAUUCUUUCAUGUCUCCAAGAGGCAGGAUGCAUAGCGGAACUCUUCCAUCAACUGCUCCCACACGACUGGCACCGUGCCAGCGAAGCGCUUGGCUUUUUCCCGGCACUGUCAGCGCUCAUCGAAACAACCACAGGAUGGCGCUGAGGACUUGCAAAAGAAGGCCAAGCACCUGGCGCAGCUCGAAACCACCCCAAGGGCAGAGGCAAGUUGCAAA